Molecule: ribosomal RNA, 467 nt
Filed under: uncultured bacterium
Lineage: Bacteria
Description: partial 16S ribosomal RNA
Rfam family: Bacterial small subunit ribosomal RNA
Source: RNAcentral
GACGAACGCUGGCGGCGUGCUUAACACAUGCAAGUCGAACGGUGAAGCUCCAGCUUGCUGGCGUGGAUCAGUGGCGAACGGGUGAGUAACACGUGAGCAACCUGCCCCAGACUCUGGAAUAAGCGCUGGAAACGGCGUCUAAUACUGGAUACGAGAUCAAGCCGCAUGGUUAUGGUCUGGAAAGUUUUUCGGUUUGGGAUGGGCUCGCGGCCUAUCAGCUUGUUGGUGAGGUAAUGGCUCACCAAGGCGACGACGGGUAGCCGGCCUGAGAGGGCGACCGGCCACACUGGGACUGGGACACGGCCCAGACUCCUACGGGAGGAAGCAGUGGGGAAUAUUGCACAAUGGGCGAAAGCCUGAUGCAGCGACGCCGGGUGGGGGAUGACGGCCUUCGGGUUGUAAACCUCUUUCAGCAGGGAAGAAGCGAAAGUGACGGUACCUGCAGAAGAAGCACCGGCAAACUACGU